AUGGGUGUGGUAUAGUGGUGAGUAUUCCCGCCAUUCACGCGGGUGACCAGGGUUCGAUCCCCGGUAACGGUG
RNAcentral lists this transfer RNA (72 nucleotides) under Olea europaea subsp. europaea. RNAcentral's name for it is "tRNA.Glu". Lineage: Eukaryota; Viridiplantae; Streptophyta; Magnoliopsida; Lamiales; Oleaceae. The record is from RNAcentral.